RNAcentral lists this ribosomal RNA (501 nucleotides) under uncultured bacterium. Its description in RNAcentral is "partial 16S ribosomal RNA". It matches the Rfam family "Bacterial small subunit ribosomal RNA", at positions 29 to 507 of the family's 1533-position model. The record is from RNAcentral.
UACGAACGCUGGCGGCGUGCUUAACACAUGCAAGUCGAACGGUGAAGCACCUUCCUUUUGGUGGGUGUGGAUGAGUGGCGAACGGGUGAGUAACACGUGAGUAACCUGCCCCCUUCUUCUGGAUAACCGCAUGAAAGUGUGGCUAAUACGGGAUAUUCUUUGCCUGCUGCAUGGUGGGUGUGGGAAAGAUGCGCUUUUGGGAGUUUUUGGUGGGGGAUGGGCUCGCGGCCUAUCAGCUUGUUGGUGGGGUGAUGGCCUACCAAGGCGGUGACGGGUAGCCGGCCUGAGAGGGUGGACGGUCACACUGGGACUGAGACACGGCCCAGACUCCUACGGGAGGCAGCAGUGGGGAAUAUUGCACAAUGGGCGCAAGCCUGAUGCAGCGACGCCGCGUGAGGGAGGGAGGCCUUCGGGUUGUAAACCUCUUUCGCCAGUGAAGCAGGCCUGUCCCUUGUGGGUGGGUUGACGGUAGCUGGAUAAGAAGCGCCGGCUAACUACGUG